GCGUUCUUUCAAAAGCCGGUUCCACCAUUUCUUCCUCCGGGGUCCGGAGACGUACUCCCAGCUGUCCUCUUCUCCUGGGCUCUGGGAGAGAAGGAGAACCACGGCCUCCCUGUCCUCCGCUAAGGGGUCUCAGAGCCUUAAACCGCUUCUCUCUGGACUUCUGACCGGUAGCCUCUACAUCCCUGCCCCGCCCCAGGCUUAACUCAAAGCUGACCUUCCACCGGUACGGGACCUGCCCCAUGGUCUUUAUGGGUAUGUAAAUAUAAAUUGUCCUCAGUUUUUCAGAUUUUUAGCUACCUAAUUCAAGAAAUGCCUUCCUGUCCCUGAUUUCCAUCCUUACCCCAUUGUAGUGGGACGAAUCCACCGCUACCAUCUCUAGACGCCUACUACUCUAUCUGGCAUCCCUCAUCUGUACCUCUCAUGAUAUUUGACAUAAUUUUCUAUGGCUACUCUAUUGAAACACAUGCUUAAAAGACCUCAAAAAUAUUUUCCUCUGGUUAUUAGGUUUGCUGUCUUAGAACAUAUUUUUCUCCUUGUACUAACUUGGCAUUCCCAACCAAACGAUUCAAACCUGAUCCUUACAAGAACAAGAAUAUUUUUGUUAGCAGCAAGAAGACGAUUUCAAAGUGAAAUUGUCUCCACUACAGAAAUGCAACAGCGAAAUUCCUAUUUUAGCAAAUAGAGAUGGGGGCUGUUUGAUCUUUUCAAAUGCCGUGAAAAAGUAAACUUUUAAAAAAUGCCUAAAACAGCUGCCUAUUUGUCUUUUAUCUAAGCUUAGCUUGUUGAAAACGCUUUUAUGAACCAGUCUAGCAUAUUGUGGAAUACGUUUUUAUUGAAUGAAAGAAUGGCUCCUCUAUAUGAGGUUUAAAGGUCAACUACAUGGUCUGACCAGUGCAGAUGUUGGUAACCCUGUGCAAAUGCUGUUUGUAGGUCUGUAAUUCCAAAGAGUGUUUUUUCACUCUGAACGAUAGAAUAAAGCAUUCAGCCUACUUUAUCACCUUAUCAGGAGUUGUUAUAAAUGGACCACCUAGUUUUCCUUCAUAGUUAAGCAAACUUAAUUCUAA
This is a long non-coding RNA of Equus asinus (donkey), 1064 nucleotides long. The record is from Ensembl. Lineage: Eukaryota; Metazoa; Chordata; Mammalia; Perissodactyla; Equidae.